Molecule: ribosomal RNA, 432 nt
Filed under: uncultured bacterium
Lineage: Bacteria
Description: bacterial SSU rRNA
Rfam family: Bacterial small subunit ribosomal RNA
Source: RNAcentral
GACGAACGCUGGCGGUGUGCUUCACACAUGCAAGUCGAACGAGGUAGCAAUACCUAGUGGCGGACGGGUGAGUAACGCGUGGGAAUCUGCCUUUAGAUGGGGGAUAACGAGCCGAAAGGUUCGCUAAUACCGCAUAGGUCGCAAGAUUAAAGGAGUAAUCCGUCUAGAGAUGAGCCCGCGUCCGAUUAGCUAGUUGGUAGGGUAAAGGCCUACCAAGGCGACGAUCGGUAGCUGGUCUGAGAGGAUGAUCAGCCACAAUGGGACUGAGACACGGCCCAUACUCCUACGGGAGGCAGCAGUGGGGAAUUUUACGCAAUGGGCGAAAGCCUGACGUAGCGACACCGCGUGAGCGAAGAAGCCCUUUGGGGUGUAAAGCUCUGUCGGCUGGAACGAAAAAAAUGACGGUACCAGCAAAGGAAGCAUCGGCUAACU